CUGGCCCUCUCUGCCCUUCCGU
Molecule: microRNA, 22 nt
Filed under: Callithrix jacchus (white-tufted-ear marmoset)
Lineage: Eukaryota; Metazoa; Chordata; Mammalia; Primates; Cebidae
Also listed under: 14 other names
Description: cja-miR-328
Gene: cja-miR-328
Source: miRBase by way of RNAcentral